This 468-nucleotide ribosomal RNA is filed under the name uncultured bacterium. RNAcentral's name for it is "partial 16S ribosomal RNA". It matches the Rfam family "Bacterial small subunit ribosomal RNA", at positions 28 to 507 of the family's 1533-position model. The record is from RNAcentral.
GACGAACGCUGGCGGCGUGCUUAACACAUGCAAGUUGAACGGAAAGGCCCUGCUUUUGUGGGGUGCUCGAGUGGCGAACGGGUGAGUAACACGUGAGUAACCUGCCCUUGACUUUGGGAUAACUUCAGGAAACUGGGGCUAAUACCGGAUAGGAGCUCCUGCUGCAUGGUGGGGGUUGGAGAGUUUCGGCGGUUGGGGAUGGACUCGCGGCUUAUCAGCUUGUUGGUGGGGUAGUGGCUUACCAAGGCUUUGACGGGUAGCCGGCCUGAGAGGGUGACCGGCCACAUUGGGACUGAGAUACGGCCCAGACUCCUACGGGAGGCAGCAGUGGGGAAUAUUGCACAAUGGGCGGAAGCCUGAUGCAGCAACGCCGCGUGCGGGAUGACGGCCUUCGGGUUGUAAACCGCUUUCGCCUGUGACGAAGCGUGAGUGACGGUAAUGGGUAAAGAAGCACCGGCUAACUACGUG